RNAcentral lists this unclassified non-coding RNA (546 nucleotides) under Penicillium sp. MBY01. RNAcentral describes it as "sequence contains ITS1, 5.8S rRNA gene, ITS2". The stretch from base 182 to 335 matches the Rfam family "5.8S ribosomal RNA". Lineage: Eukaryota; Fungi; Ascomycota; Eurotiomycetes; Eurotiales; Aspergillaceae. The record is from RNAcentral.
GAUCAUUACUGAGUGAGGGCCCUCUGGGUCCAACCUCCCACCCGUGUUUAUUGUACCUUGUUGCUUCGGUGCGCCCGCCUCACGGCCGCCGGGGGGCUUCUGCCCCCGGGUCCGCGCGCACCGGAGACACCAUUGAACUCUGUCUGAAGAUUGCAGUCUGAGCAUAAACUAAAUAAGUUAAAACUUUCAACAACGGAUCUCUUGGUUCCGGCAUCGAUGAAGAACGCAGCGAAAUGCGAUAACUAAUGUGAAUUGCAGAAUUCAGUGAAUCAUCGAGUCUUUGAACGCACAUUGCGCCCCCUGGUAUUCCGGGGGGCAUGCCUGUCCGAGCGUCAUUGCUGCCCUCAAGCACGGCUUGUGUGUUGGGCUCCGUCCCCCCGGGGACGGGCCCGAAAGGCAGCGGCGGCACCGAGUCCGGUCCUCGAGCGUAUGGGGCUUUGUCACCCGCUCUGUAGGCCCGGCCGGCGCCAGCCGACAACCAAUCAUCCUUUUCAGGUUGACCUCGGAUCAGGUAGGGAUACCCGCUGAACUUAAGCAUAUCAAUAA